CAACCUUCCGCACACUCAGGGAUAGCCUUUCGAAAGAAAGAUUAAUACCUGAUGGUAUGAUGAGAUUGCAUGAUAGCAUCAUUAAAGAUUCAUCGGUGAUGGAUGGGGAUGCGUCCGAUUAGCUUGUUGGCGGGGUAACGGCCCACCAAGGCAACGAUCGGUAGGGGUUCUGAGAGGAAGGUCCCCCACAUUGGAACUGGAACACGGUCCAAACUCCUACGGGAGGCAGCAGUGAGGAAUAUUGGUCAAUGGGCGAGAGCCUGAACCAGCCAAGUAGCGUGCAGGAUGACGGCCCUAUGGGUUGUAAACUGCUUUUAUAAGGGAAUAAAGUGGGGCUCGUGAGCUCCUUUGCAUGUACCUUAUGAAUAAGGACCGGCUAAUUCCGUGCCAGCAGCCGCGGUAAUACGGAAGGUCCGGGCGUUAUCCGGAUUUAUUGGGUUUAAAGGGAGCGUAGGCCGCAGGUUAAGCGUGUUGUGAAAUGUAGGGGCUCAACCUCUGCACUGCAGCGCGAACUGGCUUGCUUGAGUACGCGCAACGUGGGCGGAAUUCGUGGUGUAGCGGUGAAAUGCAUAGAUAUCACGAAGAACUCCGANUG
RNAcentral lists this ribosomal RNA (595 nucleotides) under uncultured Bacteroidota bacterium. Its description in RNAcentral is "bacterial SSU rRNA". It matches the Rfam family "Bacterial small subunit ribosomal RNA", at positions 122 to 715 of the family's 1533-position model. The record is from RNAcentral. Lineage: Bacteria; Pseudomonadati; Bacteroidota.